AGUUGUGCAGGGAACCACAGCUAUUUCCAGUAGAAUCAGACCCCAGCUGAGUAGCAUCCUGCCCUUUUCCUUUUUUCCCAGAACUGCAGAAAUGCCAACCGGCCUGGCACCAGGCACGAAGGAUGCACGCACGUCUCCUCUUCCCUGGUCCUCCCAGAAGCAAGCUUGUGAAAUGUGACCAGUAUUCACAAAAAAAAGAAAAGAAAAAAAAAGAAAAAAAAAAAAAGAAAGAAAGAAAGAAAGAAGAAAGUUUCAGGCCACUUUAGUCACAAAUAUCUACCCAAAGGUUCCCUUGGCUGACAACCCAGGGCACAACUCCUGCUUCCGUGAGUGCCUAAUACAAGAGUUGAAGCUCCCGGAGCCUUCUUUGAAAAAUGCCAUGCCUAAUGUUCUACUACAGAUGUUUGCCUUGAGUCAAAUAUGGAGCUUAUGUAAAAUUAUAUGUAGGUUGGUGCUACAUUUUUGAGAUCCUGUAAUUGUCUGAGCACUAGGAUUCACCACCGAGGAGACACUGAUAGACAUGUUGCAAUUAGUAGGAAUAGAAUGAACAAAAAGAGAUCCGGCUUCGAAUCUUGCCUCUGCCAUUUAAAAACUCCAACUUGGACAAAAUACUUGCCUGAGCCUCCAUGUCCUUGUUUUUAAGGUGAGAAAAGGUUUCUGUACCUUUACUACUUAAGGUAGUUACUAUUUAACUAUUGUCAAGGUUAAAAAUAAGUGGCCUGGUGCACAGUGAGCCCUCAGUGACGAGAUGCGUCUGACCAGGCAAUGAGCACUGUUCCUUUCACCUUGCUCCCUCCUUGACCUUCAUCAGGAAAAUUAUGUGAUUUCAGUUCCCUCUCCCCCCUCCUGGAUUUCUCAUUUGGGAAUUGAUGCUCAAAACUGUGAUGUGCUGAUGGAAGGUCCUGGACCAUUUUUCCUGUUCUUCUGUAUAGUGAUAAAUGGAACAUAUUAUUGAAAUAAACUGACUAUUAUUAUAGCAACUUUACUUGGCAGCUGAUCUCAUUCUAUUCUUUCAUGUCUUAGAAAGUAACUUUUAUUAAUAUUUAACAUUUAUUUAUGUGCCUACCUGGUGGUGUGUGCUGUACAGAUAAUGCAAAAAAUGCCCACUUUCUGGGCUUCAGGAGCUCGUCCUCUCCGAUGAUGGACAGCUAGCUCUAUCCAUGUCCUUGAAGGGUAAACAGUAGAGAACAGUUGUGCGCUGGCAGGGGGUGCCACUGUCUGAGCCCGCGUGCCGUCCAGCCCUGUCCUAUAUAUAUGCUCAGUCUGUUUCGUGCACGCAUUCGAGAUUCCGAGAGGUCUGCACGGAAGCAUUUGGUCAGCCC
This 1322-nucleotide long non-coding RNA is filed under the name Canis lupus familiaris (dog). RNAcentral's name for it is "lncRNA (ENSCAFG00030015423.1)". The record is from RNAcentral. Lineage: Eukaryota; Metazoa; Chordata; Mammalia; Carnivora; Canidae.